RNAcentral lists this non-coding RNA (271 nucleotides) under Bacillus sp. (in: firmicutes). RNAcentral's name for it is "Bacillus sp. c-di-GMP sequence". The stretch from base 1 to 68 matches the Rfam family "c-di-GMP-I riboswitch aptamer". The record is from RNAcentral. Lineage: Bacteria; Bacillati; Bacillota; Bacilli; Caryophanales; Bacillaceae.
AGCAGAAAAAGGCAAACCUUUUGAAAAAGAGGGACGCAAAGCCGAGGAUCUAAGGUAGGGUUCUUCUUGAAGUGUAAGGAAAUUUAGACUUUGAGAAUUGUCCAGCGCAAGAGUCCUGCCUCUCUAGGGAAAAAAUGAACUGCUUUUUUCCUAGGUCGCUUCGGCCCAGCCGAUGAAGUCAAAGAACGACUUCACCGUCUGGACCGCAAGCAUCUGUCGGGGCUGAACAAGGCGCUUGAGCUUUUCUUACUAGGAUGGCCGGGCUGCCUGG